ACGGUCGUGCCAUGCUGAAUAUCCGGUUCUCGUUAGAUCACCGAAGUCAAGCAUCAUUGGGCGCGGUCAGUACUUGGGUGGGUGACCACCUGGGAACAUCGCGUGCCGUU
Molecule: ribosomal RNA, 110 nt
Filed under: Caerostris darwini
Lineage: Eukaryota; Metazoa; Arthropoda; Arachnida; Araneae; Araneidae
Source: RNAcentral